UGGAAUGUGCGUGGUUUGAACAAUGGCGCUAAGCGCAUUGCUGUCAGUAGCAUGGUCACCGCUACUUUGCCCUCUACCGUGUGCCUGCAAGAAACCAAGCUUGCGGCCGUCACCGAUUCUCUUGUUCUAGACACUCUCGGCCCUCUCUAUGAGGGAUUCUACUCCCUACCUGCAGAUGGCACUCGCGGUGGCAUCAUCCUCGCCUGGCGUAGCCCCAACGUUUCUAUCUCGAACCCCCAUAUUGGAGAUCACCACAUCACGGCU
Molecule: ribosomal RNA, 264 nt
Filed under: Triticum aestivum (bread wheat)
Lineage: Eukaryota; Viridiplantae; Streptophyta; Magnoliopsida; Poales; Poaceae
Description: partial small subunit ribosomal RNA
Source: RNAcentral